RNAcentral lists this transfer RNA (76 nucleotides) under Neolewinella maritima. Its description in RNAcentral is "Lewinella maritima tRNA-Thr". It matches the Rfam family "tRNA". Rfam says of the family: Transfer RNA (tRNA) molecules are approximately 80 nucleotides in length. Their secondary structure includes four short double-helical elements and three loops (D, anti-codon, and T loops). Lineage: Bacteria; Pseudomonadati; Bacteroidota; Saprospiria; Saprospirales; Lewinellaceae. The record is from RNAcentral.
GCUAGCGUAGCUCAGUUGGUAGAGCUACUGAUUUGUACUCAGUAGGUCGGGAGUUCGAUUCUCUCCGCUAGCUCCA